CGAUCGGAUAGUGCGGGAAACCGCAUGAAACUCGCCUGCAAUUCCCGGCAUCACCGCGCAAGCGGUGUGGCGACUUCACUUCUGCCUUCUGGCAGUAUCAAA
This 102-nucleotide non-coding RNA is filed under the name unclassified sequences. Its description in RNAcentral is "DUF3577 RNA". It matches the Rfam family "DUF3577 RNA". The record is from RNAcentral.